RNAcentral lists this ribosomal RNA (251 nucleotides) under uncultured bacterium. RNAcentral describes it as "partial 16S ribosomal RNA". It matches the Rfam family "Bacterial small subunit ribosomal RNA", at positions 524 to 776 of the family's 1533-position model. The record is from RNAcentral.
GACAGAGGAUGCAAGCGUUAUCCGGAAUGAUUGGGCGUAAAGCGUCUGUAGGUGGCUUUUAAGUCUGCCGUCAAAUCCCAGGGCUUAACCCUGGACAGGCGGUGGAACUACCAAGCUGGAGUACGGUAGGGCAGAGGGAAUUUCCGGUGGAGCGGUGAAAGUGCGUAGAGAUCGGAAAGAACACCAACGGCGAAAGCACUCUGCUGGGCCGACACUGACACUGAGAGACGAAAGCUAGGGGAGCGAAUGGG